ACCGAGAGACGGGGUCUAAUCGGCCCCACUCUUCACCCGUGCAUACCUGUCUUUUGUUGCUUUGGCGGGCCGUCGAGCUUGACCGCUCGGCGCCAGCUGGAAGGCUAGCGCCCUCCGCCUAGCGAGUGUUCGCCAGCGGCCUUCAACACUCCAUUUCAGUGAUGUCCGAGGAAACCAAGCAAUAGUUAAAACUUUCAACAACGGAUCUCUUGGUUCUGGCAUCGAUGAAGAACGCAGCGAAAUGCGAUAAGUAAUGUGAAUUGCAGAAUUCAGUGAAUCAUCGAAUCUUUGAACGCACAUUGCGCCCUCUGGUAUUCCGGGGGGCAUGCCUGUUCGAGCGUCAUUAUACCCCUCAAGCCAUGCUUGGUACUGGGUGCAGCCCCCGCGGCUCGCCCGAAAGACAGUGGUGGCUCCCCGAGACUCCGAGCGUAGCAAGAUAUUCCAUCCCGCCACGGUAGCCUCUCGGUGGGUCCGACCAACCAAAACACAAGUUCUUACUUCCACGAUUGACCUCGGAUCAGGUAGGGAUACCCGCUGAACUUAA
RNAcentral lists this ribosomal RNA (544 nucleotides) under uncultured fungus. Its description in RNAcentral is "eukaryotic LSU rRNA". The stretch from base 190 to 343 matches the Rfam family "5.8S ribosomal RNA". The record is from RNAcentral. Lineage: Eukaryota; Fungi.